CAGUCGAGCGGACAGAUGGGAGCUUGCUCCCUGAUGUUAGCGGCGGACGGGUGAGUAACACGUGGGUAACCUGCCUGUAAGACUGGGAUAACUCCGGGAAACCGGGGCUAAUACCGGAUGGUUGUUUGAACCGCAUGGUUCAAACAUAAAAGGUGGCUUCGGCUACCACUUACAGAUGGACCCGCGGCGCAUUAGCUAGUUGGUGAGGUAACGGCUCACCAAGGCAACGAUGCGUAGCCGACCUGAGAGGGUGAUCGGCCACACUGGGACUGAGACACGGCCCAGACUCCUACGGGAGGCAGCAGUAGGGAAUCUUCCGCAAUGGACGAAAGUCUGACGGAGCAACGCCGCGUGAGUGAUGAAGGUUUUCGGAUCGUAAAGCUCUGUUGUUAGGGAAGAACAAGUACCGUUCGAAUAGGGCGGUACCUUGACGGUACCUAACCAGAAAGCCACGGCUAACUACGUGCCAGCAGCCGCGGUAAUACGUAGGUGGCAAGCGUUGUCCGGAAUUAUUGGGCGUAAAGGGCUCGCAGGCGGUUUCUUAAGUCUGAUGUGAAAGCCCCCGGCUCAACCGGGGAGGGUCAUUGGAAACUGGGGAACUUGAGUGCAGAAGAGGAGAGUGGAAUUCCACGUGUAGCGGUGAAAUGCGUAGAGAUGUGGAGGAACACCAGUGGCGAAGGCGACUC
Molecule: ribosomal RNA, 686 nt
Filed under: Bacillus subtilis
Lineage: Bacteria; Bacillati; Bacillota; Bacilli; Caryophanales; Bacillaceae
Description: bacterial SSU rRNA
Rfam family: Bacterial small subunit ribosomal RNA
Source: RNAcentral